AACCAUUCUCACCUGCGGCUAGACCUGCGGAGGGAUCAUUACAGUGUUGGUGAAAAGAGACAAAACGGCCGCUUUUGGACGCGACGAGCCUAGCUUUCCGCAGUCCACUGGCGGCCGUCUGUUUCUGACCACCCAAACAACCACCCCAUCCCUGCUUAAUACGCACCUCUUGUUUCCUCGGCGGGCCCGCCCGCCGCAGGACCCCUUUUGGAAACGCUUUUGCAAACCACGCAGUCGUUC
RNAcentral lists this unclassified non-coding RNA (240 nucleotides) under soil metagenome. Its description in RNAcentral is "partial contains 5.8S ribosomal RNA, internal transcribed spacer 2, and large subunit ribosomal RNA". The record is from RNAcentral.